This 409-nucleotide ribosomal RNA is filed under the name bacterium. Its description in RNAcentral is "partial 16S ribosomal RNA". It matches the Rfam family "Bacterial small subunit ribosomal RNA", at positions 355 to 776 of the family's 1533-position model. The record is from RNAcentral.
UGGGGAAUAUUGCACAAUGGGCGAAAGCCUGAUCCAGCGACGCCGCGUGAGGGAUGACGGCCUUCGGGUUGUAAACCUCUUUCAGUAGGGACGAAGCGCAAGUGACGGUACCUGCAGAAGAAGCACCGGCUAACUACGUGCCAGCAGCCGCGGUAAUACGUAGGGUGCGAGCGUUGUCCGGAAUUACUGGGCGUAAAGAGCUCGUAGGCGGUUUGUCACGUCGUCUGUGAAAUCCUAGGGCUUAACCCUGGACGUGCAGGCGAUACGGGCUGACUUGAGUACUACAGGGGAGACUGGAAUUUCUGGUGUAGCGGUGGAAUGCACAGAUAUCAGGAAGAACACCGAUGGCGAAGGCAGGUCUCUGGGUAGUAACUGACGCUGAGGAGCGAAAGCAUGGGUAGCGAACAGG